RNAcentral lists this ribosomal RNA (496 nucleotides) under uncultured bacterium. RNAcentral's name for it is "partial 16S ribosomal RNA". It matches the Rfam family "Bacterial small subunit ribosomal RNA", at positions 29 to 507 of the family's 1533-position model. The record is from RNAcentral.
AUGAACGCUGGCGGCGUGCCUAAUACCUGCAAGUCGAGCGCACAGACGAGGAGCUUGCUCCUCUGACGUUAGCGGCGGACGGGGGAGUAACACGUGGAUAACCUACCUAUAAGACUGGGAUAACUUCGGGAAACCGGAGCUAAUACCGGAUAAUAUAUUGAACCGCAUGGUUCAAUAGUGAAAGACGGUUUUGCUGUCACUUAUAGAUGGAUCCGCGCCGCAUUAGCUAGUUGGUAAGGUAACGGCUUACCAAGGCAACGAUGCGUAGCCGACCUGAGAGGGUGAUCGGCCACACUGGAACUGAGACACGGUCCAGACUCCUACGGGAGGCAGCAGUAGGGAAUCUUCCGCAAUGGGCGAAAGCCUGACGGAGCAACGCCGCGUGAGUGAUGAAGGUCUUCGGAUCGUAAAACUCUGUUAUUAGGGAAGAACAAAUGUGUAAGUAACUAUGCACGUCUUGACGGUACCUAAUCAGAAAGCCACGGCUAACUACGUG